This 377-nucleotide ribosomal RNA is filed under the name uncultured bacterium. RNAcentral's name for it is "bacterial SSU rRNA". It matches the Rfam family "Bacterial small subunit ribosomal RNA", at positions 28 to 414 of the family's 1533-position model. The record is from RNAcentral.
GAUGAACGCUGGCGGCGUGCCUAACACAUGCAAGUCGAGCGAUUCUCUUCGGAGAAGAGCGGCGGACGGGUGAGUAACGCGUGGGUAACCUGCCCUGUACACACGGAUAACAUACCGAAAGGUAUGCUAAUACGAGAUAAUAUGCUUUUAUCGCAUGGUAGAAGUAUCAAAGCUUUUGCGGUACAGGAUGGACCCGCGUCUGAUUAGCUAGUUGGUAAGGUAACGGCUUACCAAGGCGACGAUCAGUAGCCGACCUGAGAGGGUGAUCGGCCACAUUGGAACUGAGACACGGUCCAAACUCCUACGGGAGGCAGCAGUGGGGAAUAUUGCACAAUGGGCGAAAGCCUGAUGCAGCAACGCCGCGUGAGCGAUGAAGG